RNAcentral lists this long non-coding RNA (2163 nucleotides) under Citrus x clementina. RNAcentral describes it as "Citrus clementina (C. clementina) long non-coding RNA (CCLE_LNC003713)". The record is from RNAcentral. Lineage: Eukaryota; Viridiplantae; Streptophyta; Magnoliopsida; Sapindales; Rutaceae.
GGGCUGGCCUACUUCGUCCGCCGCACUCGGAAUGGCGCGAGACUUUGCGAGGUGCCUCCGUGUGCCAAAAAUAGGCCGCGGGCACAGCCGCGCCCAAAAAUAACCGCCCGAAGGCGGGGGCGCCAAGUUCGUCCAGCGGAAAAAGGCCCCAAAAACGGGUGGGCUAUAGCCUUGGGGGGUGGGGCUGGCCAACUUCGUCCGCCGCACUCGGAAUGGCGCGAGACUUUGCGAGGUGCCUCCGUGUACCAAAAAUAGGCCGCGGGCACAGCCGCGACCAAAAAUAACCCCCCGAAGGCCGGGGCGCCACGUUCGUCCAGCGGAAAAAGCCCACAAAAACGGGUGGGCUAUAAUCUUGGGGGUUGGGGCUGACCAACUUCGUCCGCCGGACUCGGAUUGGCGCGAACCUUUGNNNNNNNNNNNNNNNNNNNNNNNNNNNNNNNNNNNNNNNNNNNNNNNNNNNNNNNNNNNNNNNNNNNNNNNNNNNNNNNNNNNNNNNNNNNNNNNNNNNNGAGGCGACUCCGUGUGCCAAAAAUAGGCUGCGGGAAGAGCCGCGCCCAAAAUUAACCGCGCGAAGGCCGGGGCGCCGAGUUCGUCCAGCGGAAAAAGGCCACAAAAACGGGUGGGCUAUAGCCUUGGGGGGUGGGGCUGGCCAACUUCGUCCGACGGACUCGGAAUGCCGCGAGACUUUGCGAGACACCUCCGUGUGCCAAAAAUAGGCUGCGGGCACAGCCGCGUCCAAAAAUAACCGCCCGUAGGCCGCGGUGCCAAGUUCGUCCAGCGGAAAAAGGCCCCAAAAACGGGUGGGCUAUAGCCUUGGGGGGUGGGGCUGGCCAACUUCAUCCGCUGCCCUCGGAAUGGCGCGAAACUUUGCGAGGCGCCUCCAUUUGCCAAAAAUAGGCCGCGGGCACAGCCGCGCGGAAAAAUAACAGCCCGAAUGCCGGGGCGCCAAGUUCGUGCAGCGGAAAAUCCCACAAAAACCGGUGGGCUAAAGCCUUGGGGGGUGGGGCUGGCCAACUUCGUCCGACGGACUCGGAAUGCCGCGAGACUUUGCGAGACACUUCCGUGUGCCAAAAAUAGGCUGCGGGCACAGCCGCGCCCAAAAAUAACCGCCCGUAGGCCGCGGUGCCAAGUUCGUCCAGCGGGAAAAGGCCCCAAAAACGGGUGGGCUAUAGCCUUGGGGGGUGGGGCUGGCCAACUUCAUCCGCUGCCCUCGGAAUGGCGCGAAACUUUGCGAGGCGCCUCCAUUUGCCAAAAAUAGGCCGCGGGCACAGCCGCGCGGAAAAAUAACCGCCCGAAUGCCGGGGCGCCAAGUUCGUCCAGCGGAAAAUCCCACAAAAACGGGUGGGCUAUAGCCUUGGGGGGUGGGGCUGGCCAACUUCGUCCGCCGCACUCGGAAUGGCGCGAGACUUUGCGAGGUGCCUCCGUGUGCCAAAAUCAGGCCGCGGGCACAGCCGCGCCCAAAAAUAACCUCCCGAAGGCAGGGGCGCCAAGUUCGUCCAGCGGAAAAAGGCCCCAAAAACGGGUGGGCUAUAGCCUUGGGGGGUGGGGCUGGCCAACUUCAUCUGCUGGGCUCGGAAUGGCGCGAAACAUUGCGAGGUGCCUCCGUGUGCCAAAAAUAGGCCGCAGGCACAGCCGUGCCCAAAAAUAACCCCCCGAAGGCCGGGGCGCCAAGUUCGUCCAGCGGAAAAAGCCCACAAAAACGGGUGGGCGAUAGCCUUGGGGGGUGGGACUGGCCAACUUCGUCCACCGGACUCGGAUUGGCGCGAUACUUUGCGAGGCAACUCCUUGUGCCAAAAAUAGGCCGCGGGCACAGCCACGCCCAAAAAUAACCGCCCGAAGGCCGGCGCGCCAAGUUCGUCCAGCGGAAAAAGGCCACAAAAACGGGUGGGCUAUAGCCUUGGGGGGUGGGGCUGGCCCACCUCGUCCGCCGGACUCGGAAUGGCGCGAGACUUUACGAGGCACCUCCGUGUGCCAAAAAUAGGCCGCGGGCACAGCCGCGCCCAAACAUAACCGCCCGAAGGCCGGGGCGCCAAGUUCGUCCAGCGGAAAAAGCCCACAAAAACGGGUGGGCUAUAGCCUUGGGGGGUGGGGCUGGCCAACUUAGUCCGCCGGGCUCGGAAUUGCGCGAGCCUUUGCGAGGUGCCUCCGUGUGCCAAAAAUNNN